Carassius carassius (crucian carp) is the source of this 248-nucleotide long non-coding RNA. RefSeq lists it as uncharacterized. The transcript has 3 exons. Lineage: Eukaryota; Metazoa; Chordata; Actinopteri; Cypriniformes; Cyprinidae. The record is from RefSeq and is a predicted model, not a curated record.
GUGUCAGGAUGCAAGAGAUCAUCAUCACUGAGGCUCCGACAGCAGCUCCGAGCAGCACCGACGGAUGAUGGAAACCUGCAAAACAGUGUUUUGUUGCUCAGAGUGGAGCAGAUGGAAACUGCACAUCAGUUCCUGUGAUUACAACAAGAAACACUCACCACCAGAGGACACCAGACUGACGCAGAGAGUUUUUCGAAGGAAGUCUGAUGACUCUGGGAGUGGAAUUGGAAGAGACACAAUCUGUAAGU